GGUCCAAUGGUCUAGUGGUAUGACGCAACCUUCACAGCAGUCAAAUGCUCAAGUUCGGUUUAGGUCCCGGGUUCGAACCCCGGUUGGACCU
Thelonectria olida is the source of this 91-nucleotide non-coding RNA. Lineage: Eukaryota; Fungi; Ascomycota; Sordariomycetes; Hypocreales; Nectriaceae. The record is from the annotation of a GenBank genome assembly.